Molecule: long non-coding RNA, 1567 nt
Organism: Oryzias melastigma (Indian medaka)
Lineage: Eukaryota; Metazoa; Chordata; Actinopteri; Beloniformes; Adrianichthyidae
Exons: 3
Source: RefSeq, a predicted model, not a curated record
GACCUUGAAUGAAAGAAAGGUAGAUUUUAUUUUUUCUAUUUUACAUUGUACUUUAAUAAAUCCCAUUAAAACAAGGACACACUGUAGAUUAGAAUAAAACACACUCCAUUGUAUGGAAGUUUUUAGUUCCAUCAGACUCGGAAUUUUUUUUCCCCCUGAAUUUUUAUUCUGAAAUUUUUAAACCUCUGAAUUUGUAUUCUGAAUUUUAUUCUUUCACACAUAUACAUGUUAGCUUUAGCUAGUUUAAUUUAUUUUUUUUUACUUGGCAACUGCAUUACAGGUUGUAAAAUAUACAAUUACUGAAUGUGUGGGUUUGCAGAUUAUUCAAGUUGUAUUUCACAAGUUAUAGCAGUGUAUAAGUACCUACCUUUUUCUGAGCAUAAGAAGAUUGUAGAAAAACUAACUAAAUACUGAUUUUAUUUUAUUAUUCAGACUACAAUAGUGUUAAAUGUUUAUUUUGUCUUCUGAAUUCUUCUAUUGCAGAAAUUAAUUUUAACAAUUUUACCCUACUCUUAUAUGAAAUCAGUACAAGUAGUAUUUAAGUAUUUUGUUAUUCUCAUGUUCACCUAAGUAUAAUGAUGUUUUACAGUCUAAGAUCAGAAUACUUAAAACCACACAUGUUUAUGUUUGCUUUAAGUUUUUUAUGUAUUUUUUUUUUUUACUAUAAAUGUAUUUCUUGUGUAUUUCUUUCUAAGCAGACUACACCCUGUAAUGCAGAAUCAACCUGAGUCUCCUGGAGCGGUUUAUUAACAGUGAAGAUCCAGGACCAGAAUCAGAGUGAACAGGAACUCUCCUGCAGUCCUCCUGAACCUCCAUUGGUGACGUCUGUGGGGUGAUGUAACUGAGAUCCUGGUGUUUCUCUUCUGGUUGGCGAGCGGAGUAUCCUACAGGAUGAUCUCAAGAGUGUUUGGAUCUCUCGUUCCACUGUCCACUGCAUCAUCCACAGUCACUGAGGAGGUGGUGGCCAUUCGCCAUAAGGACCUUCACCUUCCAAAAACCCCUGAGGACCUGGAGGUGGAGUCCCGUGGGUUUGCAGGGCUGGCACAGCACAGAGUUUUUCCUUAAAGCUGCAGGUGCCAUCGAUGGAUGCCACAUCAGGAUCAAACCUCCUGGUGACCCUGGCAUCAUUCCAAAAGCGCCCUUGAUUAUAGAGCGUGCUUUGGAAUGAUGAAGACAAGAUUCAGAGGCAUCUUCCUGCAAGUGCUGGAGGUUGUCUCAGCUUGGGCCAUCCUCCACAAUAUCUGCUCCUGUGCUGACGACACCGAGGCCCCAGAGGAUGAUGUGGAGGUGAUGAUGAGGAGGAAGCUGGUUUGAAGGUCACCAGUGGUGCUCUCUGGCAGGACCAACUACCUGCUGAGGUUUCUGCCCUGGGGGAGGUACCACCUGACCUUGAUUACUUUUAACAGCAUCCGUCCACAGCCAACCCUGUAAACCCUGAAGAUGGACGAUGCAGUCUACAGUGAAGAUGCAUCCUGAAACUCUGCAGACCAUCCUGCAAGAUGUUCCAAUCACCACCCAGAAAGUUCCAUCCCCGCGUCUCAGUGGAAGCAUCUCAUCCAUGUCGACC